AGAGCUGUGCUCAGCAGAAGAAAACUAAUGUCUAUAGGUUAGCCCAGGUCCUCGGAACCUGGCCAGGUCGCUCUCCAUCUUCUGCACCCUUUCCUUCCCUAGAAAAACUGCCUGCGGAGCUGUUACUACUCCCUGUGAGGAGGGAGAAACACGCCGAGUGUUUCGGAAACAGGACGAAGAGCGCAAGAUGGAAACAGCCACAGAAAACCACAAUCAAUGAAGAGGCAGAGUUGUGGAUCUCAGUCCCAGUGGAAAUCCUCCUUUUCAAAACACAUUUCUGCAGACUCUAAUGUGUUCUAUGGACCGUGACAGAGGCCUCGACAAAGCUCAUGAAAGAACGUAGUUUUGCACCAGAUAAUUCAGGGUACCAGAAUGAUAAAGACGUGAUUCAGGUGCAGCUUCUAUACAUACCCAGCUCUUCACAUCGACAUCAGGAUUUCCCUCUGAGCCAUGGUCCCACGUGUUUCCUGCUUUCACCUGAAGUGUUCAAUCAUCAUGUUUUCAUUGUUGCCUGACUCUACGGAAAAAGCAUCAAUUUCCCCAAAGGCCUUUCCAAAUUUUCCCUGGAGCAAUUUCUGUGCAGGGAGAUUACAAAACUCCCACCUCAGAGUCAGGGAUCAGCCUUGGA
This is a long non-coding RNA of Alexandromys fortis (reed vole), 628 nucleotides long. RefSeq lists it as uncharacterized. The transcript is spliced from 3 exons. The record is from RefSeq and is a predicted model, not a curated record. NCBI's taxonomy places the organism in Eukaryota, Metazoa, Chordata, Mammalia, Rodentia, Cricetidae.